CAGAUCCAUUUUCUGCCACCGAAUACAUUAGCAUGGGAUAAUGGAAUAGGACCCUGUCCUCCUAUUUUCAGUUGGUUUUGGCAGCGCGAGGACUAGGGUAAUGAUUAAUAGGGAUAGUUGGGGGCAUUAAUAUUUAAUUGUCAGAGGUGAAAUUCUUGGAUUUAUGAAAGAUUAACUUCUGCGAAAGCAUCUGCCAAGGAUGUUUUCAUUAAUCAAGAACGAAAGUUAGGGGAUCGAAGACGAUCAGAUACCGUCGUAGUCUUAACCAUAAACGAUGCCGACCAGCGAUUAGGAGACGUUGAAUACAAAACACCACCAUCGGUUGCGGCCGCCUUGGGCGUCGCGGUUUCGGCCGGGGGGCGGGGAUGGCUUAGCCCGGGGGCACCGGGGAAUGACUCCCCUAGCAGCUUGGGAAAA
RNAcentral lists this ribosomal RNA (417 nucleotides) under Acanthamoeba culbertsoni. Its description in RNAcentral is "SSU rRNA". It matches the Rfam family "Eukaryotic small subunit ribosomal RNA", at positions 781 to 1097 of the family's 1831-position model. The record is from RNAcentral. Lineage: Eukaryota; Discosea; Longamoebia; Acanthamoebidae.